UGGGGAAAUUGAAAUGUAAAGGGGAGCUUCUAGUCUUGAUUUCGAUUGAUUUUUAAAGGGAUGAUGAGGAACUAAGGAGGGCUGCUGGAGGCAGCAGGUCAUUGAGACUAUUGUCUCGGCAGAAAUGAUAGAGGUUUCUGUGUUGGAAGUGUAGUAGCUACAUCUGUCUUUCUCCGCCUUGAAGGGCAAGCAUUAUUCCUGCAACUAUGUGAUCAUUCUGGCUGGAAGGUUCAAAGACAAGAGGGUUGGCCUUUUGAAGUGCAUAAAUUGCAGUAAAGGAACAAGGGCAAUAAGGUCUGUGAGCCAAAUUCAGAUGCGAGAGAAGCGGGAGUUUUGAAAUUGAGGCUGAGGUUGCAGAGGACAAGGGGUUAAGGCACAACAUAGAUGACACUUGGGUUCUGCUCCUGGAUGCGAGCUUGGAUUUUCAAAGAAAGUUGAGGUUCCUAAUGCUUUGGUUUUGUUUAUUAUGCAUGGUGUUCGGGUCUGAUGUAGUAUUGUAAAUGAAGUAUUGUUGGAAGGUGUUUCGUAAAGUAACGGAAUUUGAACGUUGACUAGCAUUAUAGUAUGCUAAGAAGCAUUUGCAUACAGAUCUGCUUUCAGUUGGAUUACCACUUGAGUUCGUUUGUUUACAGUUUACGUGGUUUGAUUUCAUGUCUAUGUUAGGCACUUAAUAGCUUAUAUUAAAAUAAUCAUGAUUUGAUGACAAUUAAUAGGUAAUAAGAUUAGAUCUGAGUAUUAAGUCUCAUGUAGGAAUCAUGAGGUUACUGCAUUAACAAUUUGCAUCCCUACAAUCUGUUGGAGACUAAUUGGAUUAUGUGGUGUUGCAGUUGAAUGUAAAAGCAGCCAAGGAAGCCACUCUGGAUGGUACAAAUUUAUUGUGCAAUUUUGCAACUUAUUUUGCAAGAUAUGUUUUUUUGUAUUGCAUACUUCAUCCAUUUUGGAUUGCUGCUUGGUAGCUGAUAUGUAUUUGAACUUCCCUAAUUUAGAUUCGGGGAAACUGAUGAGGCUAUUCAUAUGCACACAUGUGGUAAUUUGAUGUAUAUAUUAUUUUAUUGCUUUCAUCGAAUACCCCUCAUUUUCGAUUAUGUUGAUGAUGAUGAAUUGAUUAUGAAUUCCUGUUGUAAACCUAAUGUU
RNAcentral lists this long non-coding RNA (1134 nucleotides) under Rosa chinensis. RNAcentral's name for it is "sRNA RchiOBHm_Chr7g0194351". The record is from RNAcentral. Lineage: Eukaryota; Viridiplantae; Streptophyta; Magnoliopsida; Rosales; Rosaceae.